Arachis ipaensis is the source of this 322-nucleotide non-coding RNA. NCBI's taxonomy places the organism in Eukaryota, Viridiplantae, Streptophyta, Magnoliopsida, Fabales, Fabaceae. The record is from RefSeq and is a predicted model, not a curated record.
GAACUUGUUGAGAAGAUGGUUAGUGGUAAGACAAUUAGUUUCUGCAUUGAAAUAGUUUGACCAGCCACACCCAAGUCAGAAGCAGCAGAGAUCAAUACCUAUCUCCCAUCAUCACUUCCAUCCUCAGGUUUAUAUACCUGAAAUACUUUUUUGUCUUCCAUCCUCAUUGUAACAAAAAUUCCUAAAUACUCUUAUUCUAGCUUUAACAGCUAGUGCAACAGCUAGUAUAAGAAUUAAGACUUAUUAACUGCAUUGUUAGUUUGUCAUUAUUUCUAGAUGAUAAUGGUAUGGCUAGAAGUCAAGAUCUAUUUGCAUUGCUUGC